Molecule: unclassified non-coding RNA, 425 nt
Filed under: Hevea brasiliensis (rubber tree)
Lineage: Eukaryota; Viridiplantae; Streptophyta; Magnoliopsida; Malpighiales; Euphorbiaceae
Source: RNAcentral
UAAAAAAAAAAAAAAUGAUACAACCAAACAGAAAAUGAGCUCUCACCAUCUUUUGCAUGUCCAAGAUGCAGAUCGAAAUGGUUACAAGAUGAGAUUUGUUUGCGAAACAGAAAUGAUAAAGCCCUUUCUCGUGCACAACAAACUCAAACGUUUCACUGGUUUUGUCAUGAAAAUCAUGAAGGUUUCACCACAAGGUCCCUAUAUCAUGAGAUCAACCCUUGGUCGGAAUCGGCCUCUGUGACGACGAGAGAGAUGUGAAGAGUAUCCCCUCCCUUCUUUACUUCAUGAGAAACACACUAUCACAAAUCUAAUCCCGCAAAGCCUUUCUAUCCUCUAUAGCACCGCCAUUAUUGCCACAGCAACAUAUCUCAAUACCCACUUCUCUAUCUCCUACACAACCAUCUCUCUUUUGUCUAUAUAUCUGA